AGGCAUACGGCUCAGUAACGCGUAGUCAGCCUACCCUAUGGACAAGAAUAAUCUCGGGAAACUGAGCAUAAUUCUUGAUAGAUCAUAGUGCCUGGAAUGGUUUAUGGUUAAAAUGAUUCGUCGCCAUAGGAUGGGACUGCGGCCUAUCAGCUUGUUGGUGAGGUAAUGGCCCACCAAGGCGAUAACAGGUACGGGCUCCGAGAGGAGAAGCCCGGAGAUGGGUACUGAGACAAGGACCCAGGCCCUAUGGGGCGCAGCAGGCGAGAAAACUUUGCAAUGUGCGAAAGCACGACAAGGUUAAUCCGAGUGAUUUCUGCUAAAGAAAUCUUUUGCAAGUCAUAAAACCACUAGUGAAUAAGGGGUGGGCAAGUUCUGGUGUCAGCCGCCGCGGUAAAACCAGCACCUCAAGUGGUCAGGAUGAUUAUUGGGCCUGAAGCAUCCGUAGCCGGCUUUGUUAGUUUUCGGUUAAAUCCAUGUGCUCAACGCAUGGGCUGCCGAAAAUACUGCAGGGCUAGGGAGUGGGAGAGGUAGACGGUACUCAGUAGGAAGGGGUAAAAUCCUUUGAUCUAUUGAUGACCACCUGUGGCGAAGGCGGUCUACCAGAACACGUUCGACGGUGAGGGAUGAAAGCUGGGGGAGCAAACCGGAUUAGAUACCCGGGUAGUCCCAGCUGUAAACGAUGCAGACUCGAUGAUGCAUUG
RNAcentral lists this ribosomal RNA (701 nucleotides) under uncultured archaeon. RNAcentral describes it as "bacterial SSU rRNA". It matches the Rfam family "Archaeal small subunit ribosomal RNA", at positions 79 to 781 of the family's 1478-position model. The record is from RNAcentral.